UUAGAGUUUGAUCCUGGCUCAGGAUGAACGCUAGCUACAGGCUUAACACAUGCAAGUCGAGGGGAAACGACAUCGAAAGCUUGCUUUUGAUGGGCGUCGACCGGCGCACGGGUGAGUAACGCGUAUCCAACCUGCCCACCACUUGGGAAUAACCUUGCGAAAGUAAGACUAAUGCCCAAUGACGUUGAAAGAAGACAUCUGAUUUCAACUAAAGAUUCAUCGGUGAUGGAUGGGGAUGCGUCCGAUUAGCUUGUUGGCGGGGUAACGGCCCACCAAGGCAACGAUCGGUAGGGGUUCUGAGAGGAAGGUCCCCCACAUUGGAACUGAGACACGGUCCAAACUCCUACGGGAGGCAGCAGUGAGGAAUAUUGGUCAAUGGACGAGAGUCUGAACCAGCCAAGUAGCGUGCAGGAUGACGGCCCUAUGGGUUGUAAACUGCUUUUAUAAGGGAAUAAAGUGAGUCUCGUGAGACUUUUUGCAUGUACCUUAUGAAUAAGGACCGGCUAAUUCCGUGCCAGCAGCCGCGGUAAUACGGAAGGUCCGGGCGUUAUCCGGAUUUAUUGGGUUUAAAGGGAGCGUAGGCCGGAGAUUAAGCGUGUUGUGAAAUGUAGAUGCUCAACAUCUGCACUGCAGCGCGAACUGGUUUCCUUGAGUACGCACAAAGUGGGCGGAAUUCGUGGUGUAGCGGUGAAAUGCUUAGAUAUCACGAAGAACUCCGAUUGCGAAGGCAGCUCACUGGAGCGCAACUGACGCUGAAGCUCGAAAGUGCGGGUAUCGAACAGGAUUAGAUACCCUGGUAGUCCGCACGGUAAACGAUGGAUGCCCGCUGUUGGUCUGAAUAGGUCAGCGGCCAAGCGAAAGCAUUAA
This 867-nucleotide ribosomal RNA is filed under the name uncultured bacterium. RNAcentral describes it as "bacterial SSU rRNA". It matches the Rfam family "Bacterial small subunit ribosomal RNA", at positions 1 to 863 of the family's 1533-position model. The record is from RNAcentral.